Molecule: ribosomal RNA, 415 nt
Filed under: Cantharellus subalbidus
Lineage: Eukaryota; Fungi; Basidiomycota; Agaricomycetes; Cantharellales; Hydnaceae
Description: SSU rRNA
Rfam family: Bacterial small subunit ribosomal RNA
Source: RNAcentral
AAGUUUAAAGACGAAUCUAACUAACAGUGUCGUCCAAAUUCUGGUGCCAGAAGACUCGGUAAUACCAGAGACGCGAACGUUAAUCAUCUUUAAUGGGCAUAAAGGGUUUGUAGGCGGCUUAUUUAUUAAUAGGCUAGAAUCUUAUAGAGGUUAAUAAAAUACUUAGAGGAGGGCUGAUAUCCUUAGAUCCUAAGUGGAAUCCUAAUUGCGAAGGCCAUUUUCCACUACAGAUUGACGCUGAUACACGAAGGUUAGGAUAGGAACUAGGAUUAGAGACCCUAUUACCCCUAACUGUAAACGAUGAAUGGAAGAUAUUUACAACUGUAAGUGUCGAAGUGAAUACGAUAACCAUUCCGCCUUGCCAGUAUACUUGCAAAAGUGAAAACAAAAAAAUUAGUCGGUCCUAAAGCAAACG